RNAcentral lists this ribosomal RNA (497 nucleotides) under uncultured bacterium. RNAcentral's name for it is "bacterial SSU rRNA". It matches the Rfam family "Bacterial small subunit ribosomal RNA", at positions 28 to 533 of the family's 1533-position model. The record is from RNAcentral.
GAUGAACGCUAGCGGCAGGCCUAACACAUGCAAGUCGAGGGGCAUCAUGGCGUAGCAAUACGCUGAUGGCGACCGGCGCACGGGUGCGUAACGCGUAUGGAACCUACCCACCGCAGGGGGAUAACCCGCCGAAAGGCGGACUAAUACCCCAUGGUUCCCCGACCCUGCCUGGGGUUGGGGGUAAAGCCUACGGGCGGCGGUGGAUGGCCCUGCGUGCCAUUAGCUGGCUGGUGGGGUAACGGCCCACCAGGGCGACGAUGGCUAGGGGGUCUGAGAGGACGAUCCCCCACACUGGUACUGAGACACGGACCAGACUCCUACGGGAGGCAGCAGUGAGGAAUAUUGGUCAAUGGGCGGAAGCCUGAACCAGCCAUGCCGCGUGCAGGAUGACGGCCCUACGGGUUGUAAACUGCUUUUCUCAAGGGAAAAAGAUGAUGGUACCUGAGGAAUAAGCCCCGGCUAACUACGUGCCAGCAGCCGCGGUAAGCACGAGAGUA